AUUUAUUAGCUAUCGAAUGAUAAAAAUAAUGAAAAAUGAAGCUAAAAUUAAUUUCCUUUGUGCGUAUUUUAUUAAAAAAUCAUUAACUGUAAUGUAUAAAGUUAGAAGAAAAAACAGGAAACAUUAAUACCGAAAAAAAGUAAUAAUUAAACAAAUAUAAGUUUUAUUUUUAAUUAAACAAAACCAUGGCACACCGGCAUUUUUUUAAAUCGUUUCGUACCAUAAUAUUAAACCACACAAACCCUGGUUCUACUUAUCACUGUAACCAUAAGUCCAUUUUUACUCCUAAAUAUUUAAUAUUUACUAUAACGAAGUUUAAACUUUCUGUACGAUCUCUUUGUUUUGUCCUCACAUUUAAUCGUCUCCUUAAUCGGAUUAAAGUUUUUGCUGUUGACAAUGGUUGACGAAGAACUGAAAUAAACUGGAAUUAACUUGGAUUCGAUACGCAGUCGUUGAAUGUGACGAUAGAGUAUUGCGGAUAGCGAUGUAGAUAAUAUUAGAAGAGCUCCUAAGAUGGCUGUUAAGGCGAGGAAAGACGUACAGGUUUGCAUGCUUUCCAACUUCUUAAUAGCUGAAUCUGCUAUUGAAAUAAAAAUCACAAUCAAAAUCGAAUAUAUUUAUUGUUUCAUUGAAUCGUAUCAUUAAAACAUAUAGACUACAUUAUAAACGAGGUCAUAAUCGCGAUAAUAAAUCGAACUAUGAUAUAAUAGUUCUGCAAUUAGUUUGCUAUUGCUUCUGAAUCGAUUAGUUUUUUGCUUGUUACACUUUGUUAUUUUAUCAUAAUUAAUUUUAAAAGUACUGUAUUAAUAAAUAAAUGGUAAUAAUCGUUUCUACCGAUUAUCAUAAUAGGUAGAAUCGAAUACUUUUGUUGUAAUCGAAUACUAUUCAAAAGUAUUCGAACACUUUUUUAUCCAUUCAUUAUCUAUGCAGCCAAUCAACAACACUAGCCGUGAGACACAACUACCAAUUAGAAGCCUUCUACAAGAAAAGUAUUCGAUUUUAUCCAAUCACUAAUUUUAAAUUAAUUUACCUGUUAGUUUUGUUAUAAGAGCGACGUGAUUGGUUAACAAUCUGAAUUAAUUCGAUUUAACGAUUUAAAAAUCAAAUAUUAUAUUCGAAUGUAAACAGUCAUUCAUUUCUAAAUCCUGUUGUAAAUAAAAUUAAGCUAAAGUAGAUACGUAACAAGAAUCUAAUUAUUGAAAAUUGACGUAUUAUUACGGGAACGACGUCGAUUAUUACUAUUAUAUGAUACUAAUUAUAAAUGCUAAUAAUACAGUUUAGUAAAUUCUUUCGUAAGAAUUUUUAUAGAAACAAAGAUCGUUGAUGUCAAAACAAGCCGAUUUAUCAAGCG
RNAcentral lists this long non-coding RNA (1351 nucleotides) under Androctonus crassicauda. Lineage: Eukaryota; Metazoa; Arthropoda; Arachnida; Scorpiones; Buthidae. The record is from RNAcentral.